UUCUAUCAUCCCUAGAUAUCCAUCAUCCAUUGAUCCCCAUGAAGAAAAAACAGAAAAUUGGUGGAAAAGAUCUUGCUAAUUUUCAACAAAUCUAUGGCCCAGAAGAAAGCAAGUCAAAACAGCAUGGAGUUCCUGGAUCCAGUUUGACUGACUAUAAAAGUACAGAGAAGCUUCAAUCAAAUGUGCCAACAUAUAUAAAUCUACCUCACCUAAACAGUCAGCUAGAAAACCUGCCAUUUCCAGAAACCGAUCCGUCCAACGAGCAAGAAAAAGAGCCAAAAGUGAAAAAGAGGAAGAAAAAGAAUGAGGCUAGAAAACUUCGCAAAAAGAAGAAGGAAGAGGCUCUUCAAAUGACCCUGCAAUGCCUCUUACAAAUAGUUCAAAUUAUGGUAAGUACAUUUCCUCAAUCACUCACCUUCUACUAGAAAUGUUUCAUCUUAGGGAAAACA
This 449-nucleotide long non-coding RNA is filed under the name Sarcophilus harrisii (Tasmanian devil). RNAcentral's name for it is "lncRNA (ENSSHAG00000020942.1)". Lineage: Eukaryota; Metazoa; Chordata; Mammalia; Dasyuromorphia; Dasyuridae. The record is from RNAcentral.